RNAcentral lists this ribosomal RNA (484 nucleotides) under uncultured bacterium. RNAcentral's name for it is "partial 16S ribosomal RNA". It matches the Rfam family "Bacterial small subunit ribosomal RNA", at positions 30 to 507 of the family's 1533-position model. The record is from RNAcentral.
AUUGAACGCUGGCGGCAGGCCUAACACAUGCGAGUCGAGCGGAUGAAGGGAGCUUGCUCCUGGAUUCAGCGGCGGACGGGUGAGUAAUGCCUAGGAAUCUGCCUGGUAGUGGGGGAUAACGGCCGGAAACGGGCGCUAAUACGGCAUACGUCCUGAGGGAGAAAGUGUGGGAUCUUCGGACCUCACGCUAUCAGAUGAGCCAAGGUCGGAUUAGCUAAUUGGUGGGGUAAAGGCCUACCAAGGCGACGAUCCGUAACUGGUCUGAGAGGAUGAUCAGUCACACUGGAACUGAGACACGGUCCAGACUCCUACGGGAGGCAGCAGUGGGGAAUAUUGGACAAUGGGCGCAAGCCUGAUCCAGCCAUGCCGCGUGUGUGAAGAAGGUCUUCGGAUUGUAAAGCACUUUAAGUUGGGAGGAAGGGCAGUAAGUUAAUACCUUGCUGUUUUGACGUUACCAACAGAAUAAGCACCGGCUAACUUCGUG